This 428-nucleotide ribosomal RNA is filed under the name Klebsiella pneumoniae. RNAcentral's name for it is "bacterial SSU rRNA". It matches the Rfam family "Bacterial small subunit ribosomal RNA", at positions 266 to 686 of the family's 1533-position model. The record is from RNAcentral. Lineage: Bacteria; Pseudomonadati; Pseudomonadota; Gammaproteobacteria; Enterobacterales; Enterobacteriaceae.
CACCUAGGCGACGAUCCCUAGCUGGUCUGAGAGGAUGACCAGCCACACUGGAACUGAGACACGGUCCAGACUCCUACGGGAGGCAGCAGUGGGGAAUAUUGCACAAUGGGCGCAAGCCUGAUGCAGCCAUGCCGCGUGUGUGAAGAAGGCCUUCGGGUUGUAAAGCACUUUCAGCGGGGAGGAAGGCGGUGAGGUUAAUAACCUCAUCGAUUGACGUUACCCGCAGAAGAAGCACCGGCUAACUCCGUGCCAGCAGCCGCGGUAAUACGGAGGGUGCAAGCGUUAAUCGGAAUUACUGGGCGUAAAGCGCACGCAGGCGGUCUGUCAAGUCGGAUGUGAAAUCCCCGGGCUUAACCUGGGAACUGCAUUCGAAACUGGCAGGCUAGAGUCUUGUAGAGGGGGGUAGAAUUCCAGGUGUAGCGGUGAAA